GAUGAACGCUAGCUACAGGCUUAACACAUGCAAGUCGAGGGGAAACGAUAUUGGAAGCUUGCUUCCGAUAGGCGUCGACCGGCGCACGGGUGAGUAACGCGUAUCCAACCUGCCCAUCACUUGGGGAUAACCUUGCGAAAGUAAGACUAAUACCCAAUGACGUCUCUAGAAGACAUCUGAAAGAGAUUAAAGAUUUAUCGGUGAUGGAUGGGGAUGCGUCUGAUUAGCUUGUUGGCGGGGUAACGGCCCACCAAGGCGACGAUCAGUAGGGGUUCUGAGAGGAAGGUCCCCCACAUUGGAACUGAGACACGGUCCAAACUCCUACGGGAGGCAGCAGUGAGGAAUAUUGGUCAAUGGACGAGAGUCUGAACCAGCCAAGUAGCGUGCAGGAAGACGGGCCCUAUGGGUUGUAAACUGCUUUUAUAAGGGAAUAAAGUGGGAGUCGUGACUCUUUUUGCAUGUACCUUAUGAAUAAGGACCGGCUAAUUCCGUG
This 493-nucleotide ribosomal RNA is filed under the name uncultured bacterium. Its description in RNAcentral is "bacterial SSU rRNA". It matches the Rfam family "Bacterial small subunit ribosomal RNA", at positions 28 to 507 of the family's 1533-position model. The record is from RNAcentral.